This is a long non-coding RNA of Carassius auratus (goldfish), 527 nucleotides long. RefSeq lists it as uncharacterized. NCBI's taxonomy places the organism in Eukaryota, Metazoa, Chordata, Actinopteri, Cypriniformes, Cyprinidae. The record is from RefSeq and is a predicted model, not a curated record. The transcript is spliced from 4 exons.
CAGCAGUCGCAAUAAAACACGAAACAUAAAAAAAAAAUUGUCUGCAGUUUGAUACAUUACCAAGAUGUCUGACGAUAUUUCGAGUGUGCAAUUAUGUGAGGACAUCAGUCGUAAGAGUUUACAACUGAACCAACAUUUGGAGAAGAUGACUGAACAAAUGGAGAAUGUUUCAGAUGGAGUCUGAGGGAAAUUCCACAGAGAAUCGUGAACAUGGGUCCUCAGAUGGCCUGGAUUAUAUCUUGAAGCAGUUGGAUUUGAUGUCGGAAUUGAUUGACCAGUUGGAAGUGAAGAUCCAGCUGCUGCAGUGUAACCUGACCGUGUGCUUCACACACCCUGAUAAAAUGGCGCGUCUCCAGACUGACGUGGAAACCCUAACCUGGUUAAACCAUCAACAGACGACGGAAGACUAAAUACAAAGAAGUGCUUUUUCAUGUAAACUUCACAAUUUAAUUGGAAACAUUAAGUUAGAAUUCUAAAAACAGUAGGAAUAUUUAAUUUAGAACAGACAAAUGUACAUUUUAAGAGUA